CAUUCUGCCCAGACCCAGAGGCCUUCCUCAGAUACAGGGCACCCCCAUGACAGUGCAUUGUCUGCACCAAGAAGCUUGAUUUGUCCAGUGCAGCCAGCAUAUGCAUCUAUGAUAACCUCCACCCAUUUGCCACAGUUGCAAUGUAGGGAUGAGGGUGCUGGCAAAGAACAGCACAUAAUACCAUCUUCGGUCAUGCACCAGCCUUUUCAAGUUACACCAACAUCUCCUAUGGGGUCUUCCUAUCAGUCUAUACAAACUAAUAUGUAUAAUGGUCCAACUUGUCUUCCUAUGAAUCCUGCCUCUAGUCAAGAAUUUGAUCCAGUUUUGUUUCAGCAGGAUGCAGCUCUUUCUAAUUUAGUAAAUCUUGGCUGUCAACCACUGUCACCAAUACCAUUUCAUUCUUCAAAUUCAGAUGCAACAGGACAUCUUUUAGCUCAUUCACCUCAUUCUGUGCAAACCCCACCUCAUCUGCAGUCAAUGGGAUACCAUUGUUCAAGUGCAGGACAAAGAUCUCUUUCUUCUCCAGUAGCAGCCCAGGUCACAGGUCAGCCUUCUUCCCAUUUACAGCCUAUCACAUAUUGUCCUUCACAUCCAGGGUCUGCUACAGCAGCUUCCCCAGCAGCCUCUCAUGCUCUUUCUAGUUCACCGAUUUCUGGGCCACCGUCCCCUCAGCUGCAGUCUAUGCCUUACCAAUCUCCUAGCUCAGGAACUGCCUCAUCACCAUCUCCAGUUACCAGAAUGCAUUCUGGACAGCACUCAACUCAAGCACAAAGUACAGGGCAAGGAGGUCUUUCUGUACCUUCAUCCUUAGUUUGUCACAGUUUGUGUGACCCAGCAUCGUUUCCACCUGGUGGUGCAGCUGUGAGCAUUAAACCUGAACCUGAAGAUCAAGAACCUAACUUUGCAACCAUUGGUCUACAGGAUAUCACUUUAGAUGAUGUGAACGAGAUUAUUGGAAGAGACAUGUCCCAGAUUACUGUUUCCCAAGGCCCAGAGGUGAUCAGAGAUGCCCCUCUCCCAGGUCCGGAGUCUCCAGAUGUUAUGAGCUCUAACAGUGCUCAGUGAAGCUUUGUGCCCACCACCAACUGCUCUGACUGCUUCUCUC
This 1105-nucleotide long non-coding RNA is filed under the name Rattus norvegicus (Norway rat). RNAcentral's name for it is "long non-coding RNA NONRATT014228". The record is from RNAcentral. Lineage: Eukaryota; Metazoa; Chordata; Mammalia; Rodentia; Muridae.